RNAcentral lists this ribosomal RNA (497 nucleotides) under uncultured bacterium. Its description in RNAcentral is "partial 16S ribosomal RNA". It matches the Rfam family "Bacterial small subunit ribosomal RNA", at positions 28 to 507 of the family's 1533-position model. The record is from RNAcentral.
GAUGAACGCUGGCGGCGUGCCUAAUACAUGCAAGUCGAGCGAACAGACGAGGAGCUUGCUCCUCUGACGUUAGCGGCGGACGGGUGAGUAACACGUGGAUAACCUACCUAUAAGACUGGGAUAACUUCGGGAAACCGGAGCUAAUACCGGAUAAUAUAUUGAACCGCAUGGUUCAAUAGUGAAAGACGGUUUUGCUGUCACUUAUAGAUGGAUCCGCGCCGCAUUAGCUAGUUGGUAAGGUAACGGCUUACCAAGGCGACGAUGCGUAGCCGACCUGAGAGGGUGAUCGGCCACCCUGGAACUGAGACACGGUCCAGACUCCUACGGGAGGCAGCAGUAGGGAAUCUUCCGCAAUGGGCGAAAGCCUGACGGGGCAACGCCGCGUGGGUGAUGAAAGUCUUCGGAUCGUAAGACUCUGUUAUUAGGGAAGAACAAAUGUGUAAGUAACUAUGCACGUCUUGACGGUACCUAAUCAGAAAGCCACGGCUAACUACGUG